RNAcentral lists this ribosomal RNA (468 nucleotides) under uncultured bacterium. RNAcentral's name for it is "partial 16S ribosomal RNA". It matches the Rfam family "Bacterial small subunit ribosomal RNA", at positions 28 to 507 of the family's 1533-position model. The record is from RNAcentral.
GACGAACGCUGGCGGCGUGCUUAACACAUGCAAGUCGAACGGAAAGGCCCUGCUUUUGUGGGGUGCUCGAGUGGCGAACGGGUGAGUAACACGUGAGUAACCUGCCCUUGACUUUGGGAUAACUUCAGGAAACUGGGGCUACUACCGGAUAGGAGCUCCUGCUGCAUGGUGGGGGUUGGAAAGUUUCGGCGGCUGGGGAUGGACUCGCGGCUUAUCAGCUUGUUGGUGGGGUAGUGGCUUACCAAGGCUUUGACGGGUAGCCGGCCUGAGAGGGUGACCGGCCACAUUAGGACUGCGAGACGGCCCAGACUCCUACGGGAGGCAGCAGUGGGGAAUAUUGCACAAUGGGCGGAAGCCUGAUGCAGCAACGCCGCGUGCGGGAUGACGGCCUUCUGGUUGUAAACCGCUGUCGCCUGUGACGAAGCGUUAGUGACGGUAAUGGGUAAAGAAGCACCGGCUAACUACGUG